GCCUCGUGCCUGAAAGGGCGACGCUGCAAGGCGGAGCGAGAAGUCAGCAGAGGCCAUAGUAGGUGCGGUAUGACUGAAGGGC
Non-coding RNA from Rhodanobacter sp., 82 nucleotides. NCBI's taxonomy places the organism in Bacteria, Pseudomonadati, Pseudomonadota, Gammaproteobacteria, Lysobacterales, Rhodanobacteraceae. The record is from Rfam.